GAUGAGAACUAACCUGCUGAAUGUCAA
This 27-nucleotide non-coding RNA is filed under the name Cricetulus griseus (Chinese hamster). The record is from RNAcentral. Lineage: Eukaryota; Metazoa; Chordata; Mammalia; Rodentia; Cricetidae.